Molecule: long non-coding RNA, 784 nt
Organism: Ziziphus jujuba (common jujube)
Lineage: Eukaryota; Viridiplantae; Streptophyta; Magnoliopsida; Rosales; Rhamnaceae
Exons: 3
Source: RefSeq, a predicted model, not a curated record
UUCUUUUUGGUUUGAAGCCACAAUUCUUGACCUCGAAGACGUUUCCUACCAGCACGCCAGCCACGCAACUGUCAAAGCUAACCCUAACUCUGCCGCCGGCGAAACCCAUUUCAACCUCAAGAUUGUCUCCCCGAAAUUCGAAGGCCUGAACCUCGUGAAACGGCAUCGUUUGGUCUACGACGCCUUUGCCGACGAGCUCCAAUCUGGACUCCACGCCCUUUCUAUCGUUGCCAAGACUCCUUAAGAGCUCGAAUCUCAACCCAAACGUCGACCAGAGUAAAAUCCAAAACUGGGUUUUUUUUUGUCACUCAUUUCAGCAACCAGCCUUCUCUCCCAACUCCGAAAUUCCAGCAUUUCAUUUCUUUUUCCCUUGCCUUUCCCCAAUCCCUCAUUGCCCACUCUUCCACCCUGCUGAUCCCCAAGGCCAGUGACCGUAUCUAACAGCAAUGGAAGCUGGAGGUAGCAGUAACGAUAAUAGGUGGGGUGAAUCUAGGCGUACAUGGAGUAGAGGUGAGGAAGAAGCUUUGCUGGUUCUUUUAGAUGAAGCUGUAGCUAGUGGGCAACGUUGUGACACGGGAGCAUUUAAACCUGGUACACUUAAUAUGAUUGAGCGGCAACUGGCUGAAAUGUGUCCUAACUCGGGAUUGCGAGCAACUCCACAUAUUGAAUCGAAGCUAAAAAAGUGGAAGAAGCAAUAUGGCAUCAUAUACGACAUGUUGAACAAAAGUGGAUUUGGAUGGAAUGACACUCUUAAAUGUGUGGAGAUUGACAGUGACGAUGCUUG